ACUCUCUCUCGCAACUUUGAAGA
This 23-nucleotide small nuclear RNA is filed under the name Arabidopsis thaliana (thale cress). RNAcentral describes it as "snRNA_15658". Lineage: Eukaryota; Viridiplantae; Streptophyta; Magnoliopsida; Brassicales; Brassicaceae. The record is from RNAcentral.